Molecule: ribosomal RNA, 484 nt
Filed under: uncultured Pelotomaculum sp.
Lineage: Bacteria; Bacillati; Bacillota; Clostridia; Eubacteriales; Desulfotomaculaceae
Description: bacterial SSU rRNA
Rfam family: Bacterial small subunit ribosomal RNA
Source: RNAcentral
AAACUUAAAGGAAUUGACGGGGCCCGCACAAGCGUGGAGCAUGUGGUUAAUUCGACGCAACGCGAAGAACCUUACCAGGGCUUGACAUCCCCUGACCGCGUAUGAAAGUACGUUUUCACCCUCGGGUGACAGGGAGACAGGUGGUGCAUGGUUGUCGUCAGCUCGUGUCGUGAGAUGUUGGGUUAAGUCCCGCAACGAGCGCAACCCCUACGUUUAGUUGCUAACGCGUGAAGGCGAGCACUCUAGACGAACUGCCGUUGACAAAACGGAGGAAGGUGGGAUGACGUCAAAUCAUCAUGCCCCUUAUGUUCUGGGCUACACACGUGCUACAAUGGCCGGUACAGACGGACGCAAAGCCGCGAGGUGGAGCAAAUCCUAAAAAGCCGGUCUCAGUUCGGAUUGCAGGCUGCAAUUCGCCUGCAUGAAGUCGGAAUCGCUAGUAAUCGCAGGUCAGCAUACUGCGGUGAAUACGUUCCCGGGCCUU